CCUCACCUUAUCCAAGCCAAGCACUGGAUCCUUCACGAAAAAGAAAGAAAACACUGGAACCGAAGAGGGCAGCGGCCACUGCCGCACACCGCCGGCGCCGCCGGCGCCGUCCGCCCCCGAUUCCGCGAUGCCCCUCUUACCUUCUCCUCUGACGCAGUUGCGCCGCCGCCCACCAUCUGCCCCUCGUUCCCCGCGUCUCCUCCUCCCCCCGCCCCAUCUCCUCCCGUCCCCCGACGCCUACGUUGGCGAGUACACCGCCGGCACAUUCCGUCCCCCGAUCGAGUCCGCGACGCCACUCCCGCCUCCUCCUCUGAUGCAGAAACCCGGCUGCCCACCACCUCCCCCCUCCUACUGGCCGGCUCCUCGGGUCCUCCUCCACGCUCUACUCAUCCUCAGCGGCGCCGGCGCCAGCUUCCCUGCCGACGCGCUCCACGGCCGUCCUCUUUGCGCACGCGCUGGUCCACACCCACGUCCUCCUUCAGUCGACCCCGUCUCAGAUACAACUGGUCUGGUGUGAUGGUUGACAUGGGGUACUAUGCCUCUGCUUCCCAACCCGUCCCGCCUCCCAAGUUCAAUUUUUGUGUCCUUACAGUUCAAAUCCGCGCGCCCAGUUCGAACUGUCCAGAAACCAGUCCUGCAGCCCAGUAUAAAUAAGUGGGCAGGCUUAUGGGACUCACGCUGCUCAAACUACACCUCCAAGAAGGCACACAACCUUCAGAUCGAACAGAUUGUGGGGAAGUGUGAUUCACUCCUCUUCGCCAUCUAAUCUUCAUCAAGGGCAAGCCAAGUUUAACUGAACUUGCUCCAGUGGCAUGCCAAGUGCUCAUACAAGUCUAUUUAUAUAUAUGUGAGCCAACAGAUAUGACAAGCUCAAGUCACUCGUCUUUGGAUGAUGAAGUGACAAAAAAAUCAUCUAUGAUUUUUCGUACUAAUGGCAUGCUCAUAUCAACGGAUGACUUGGUGCGAGGUGAAAGUUCAGAAGGGCGAAAGCGUGCACGUGAAGCCAUAAGAUAUGCUAGCCGUACACCAGAACAAAUCCAAGCAAGGCGAGAACGUGUUAGAGCACGUCGGCAAAAUUUAACACCUGUUGAGAAGGAAAAGAUUAAUGCACACAGAAGAGAGAAAAGACAAUGAAUGACACUUGAUGAGAGGAAUGCAAGCCAACGAGCGCGUAGGCAAAGUUUGACAUUAGAUGAGAGGCAAGAAAGAAAUCCACGCCGGCGAGCACGUAGGCAAAGCCUACCACCUGAAGAGCGGCAAGCACUCCUAGCUCAACGUAAUGCAAGCUACGCAUCUAAACGAGAUGCCCUCUGCAGGGAUUCUGUUGCACUAUGUUGCUCUUUCUAGAGCUACAUCUAGAAGUAAUAUGAAGAUUCUUACCAUCCCAGAUAAGCAAAAGGAAGGCCAGUCCUACUCCGUUGCAAAUUUUACAAAGAACAUAGUCUACAAAGAAGUUCUCAGCAUGUAGUACAAGGUAUGAAUCACACAAGUACAAUUUGGUGGCCGUAAAAAUUCAAUCUAUCUAGAUUACUAGGGUCAGCCAUGUAAAAUUGCUUCCCAUCUAUGGUUCUGAAGUUUGUGUGGAGGACUUUCAGAAAAACAACUAAGAUGCUUGCUUUAGCGUUCAUGAUAUUUUUGCAGAAAAUAUUGUACAUGUAUUCGAAUUGUUUUUUUGUAGUUUUCUUUAUUA
Triticum aestivum (bread wheat) is the source of this 1690-nucleotide long non-coding RNA. RefSeq lists it as uncharacterized. Lineage: Eukaryota; Viridiplantae; Streptophyta; Magnoliopsida; Poales; Poaceae. The transcript is spliced from 3 exons. The record is from RefSeq and is a predicted model, not a curated record.